GAAUUCCUUACAGCAAUAUAACAUUCAAAAUUUAACUCUGAAAUCUUGAAUUCUG
Non-coding RNA from Dictyostelium purpureum, 55 nucleotides. It matches the Rfam family "Class I RNA from Dictyostelium". The record is from Rfam. Lineage: Eukaryota; Evosea; Eumycetozoa; Dictyosteliales; Dictyosteliaceae.